GCGCAGGUGGCAGAGCGGUCAAUUGCAUGUGACUGUAAAUCACACGCCUCAUGGCUACGGGGGUUCGAAUCCCUCCCUGCGCA
RNAcentral lists this transfer RNA (83 nucleotides) under Candidatus Wolfebacteria bacterium CG1_02_39_135. RNAcentral's name for it is "tRNA-Tyr". It matches the Rfam family "tRNA". Rfam says of the family: Transfer RNA (tRNA) molecules are approximately 80 nucleotides in length. Their secondary structure includes four short double-helical elements and three loops (D, anti-codon, and T loops). The record is from RNAcentral. RNAcentral also lists the same sequence under 2 other names. Lineage: Bacteria; Candidatus Wolfeibacteriota.